RNAcentral lists this ribosomal RNA (492 nucleotides) under uncultured bacterium. Its description in RNAcentral is "partial 16S ribosomal RNA". It matches the Rfam family "Bacterial small subunit ribosomal RNA", at positions 30 to 507 of the family's 1533-position model. The record is from RNAcentral.
AUUGAACGCUGGCGGCAGGCCUAACAUAUGCAAGUCGAGCGGCAGAAGAGUAAUAGCUUGUGCUUACAGCUGCCGAGGGGCGGGUAGUUCCUAAGUACCUCGGAGUCUGCUGUUUCUAGGGUGAGAACAUGGGCGCUCAUACGCUAUACGCGCUUACGAACUACGGGUGGGAUCUUGGGAUCUUCCGCUAUCACACGAUCCAAUGAGCCGAUGUCGGAUUAGCUAGUUGGCGGGGUAAAGGCCCACCAAGGCGACGAUCCGUAGCUGGUCUGAGAGGAUGAUCAGUCACACUGGAACUGAGACACGGUCCAGACUCCUACGGGAGGCAGCAGUGGGGAAUAUUGGACAAUGGGCGCAAGCCUGAUCCAGCCAUACCGCGUGGGUGAAGAAGGCCUUCGGGUUGUAAAGCCCUUUUGUUGGGAAAGAAAAGCAGUAGGUUAAUACCUUGCUGUUCUGACGUUACCAAAAGAAUAAGCACCGGCUAACUUCGUG